RNAcentral lists this ribosomal RNA (433 nucleotides) under uncultured bacterium. Its description in RNAcentral is "partial 16S ribosomal RNA". It matches the Rfam family "Bacterial small subunit ribosomal RNA", at positions 29 to 507 of the family's 1533-position model. The record is from RNAcentral.
AACGAACGCUGGCGGCAUGCCUAACACAUGCGAGUCGAACGAGACCUUCGGGUCUAGUGGCGCACGUGUGCGUAACACGUGGGAACCUGCCCUUAGGUUCGGAAUAACUCCCUGAAAGGGGUGCUAAUACCGGAUAAUGUCUUCGGACCAAAGAUUUAUCGCCUUUGGAUGGGCGCGCGUUGGAUUAGCUAGUUGGUAGGGUAAAAGCCUACCAAGGCGACGUUCCAUAGCUGGUGUGAGAGGAUGCUCCUCCACACUGGGAAUGCGACACGGCCCAGACUCCUAGGGGAGGGUGGAGUGGGGAAUAUUGGACAAUGGGCGCAAGCCUAAUCCAGCAAUGCCGGGUGAGUGAUGAAGGCCUUAGGGUUGUAAAGCCAUUUUACCCGGGAUGAUAAUGACAGUACCGGGAGAAUAAGCUCCGGCUAACUCCGUG